GAGGGACACGCUUCCAAACCAUGAAACAAGACAGAAGGAUAAAACUGAUUCUAUAAAAGCAGGAUAAAACAAGGUCAGCAUGGUUCUGUCAAUGUUAAAAGUGGACAGUUUUCUCAGACAAUAAAGGCGCUGGCGCUGUGGAUCCACCA
This is a long non-coding RNA of Thalassophryne amazonica, 149 nucleotides long. RefSeq lists it as uncharacterized. The record is from RefSeq and is a predicted model, not a curated record. Lineage: Eukaryota; Metazoa; Chordata; Actinopteri; Batrachoidiformes; Batrachoididae. The transcript has 3 exons.